GACGGGUGAGUAACACGUGGGAACGUACCUUUCGGUUCGGAAUAAUUCAGGGAAACUUGGACUAAUACCGGAUACGCCCUUCGGGGGAAAGAUUUAUCGCCGAUAGAUCGGCCCGCGUCUGAUUAGCUAGUUGGUGAGGUAAAGGCUCACCAAGGCGACGAUCAGUAGCUGGUCUGAGAGGAUGAUCAGCCACAUUGGGACUGAGACACGGCCCAAACUCCUACGGGAGGCAGCAGUGGGGAAUAUUGGACAAUGGGCGCAAGCCUGAUCCAGCCAUGCCGCGUGAGUGAUGAAGGCCUUAGGGUUGUAAAGCUCUUUUGUCCGGGAAGAUAAUGACUGUACCGGAAGAAUAAGCCCCGGCUAACUUCGUGCCAGCAGCCGCGGUAAUACGAAGGGGGCUAGCGUUGCUCGGAAUCACUGGGCGUAAAGGGCGCGUAGGCGGACUUUUAAGUCGGAGGUGAAAGCCCAGGGCUCAACCCUGGAAUUGCCUUCGAUACUGGGAGUCUUGAGUUCGGAAGAGGUUGGUGGAACUGCGAGUGUAGAGGUGAAAUUCGUAGAUAUUCGCAAGAACACCAGUGGCGAAGGCGGCCAACUGGUCCGAUACUGACGCUGAGGCGCGAAAGCGUGGGGAGCAAACAGGA
RNAcentral lists this ribosomal RNA (641 nucleotides) under Allobosea sp. I15B-00866. RNAcentral describes it as "bacterial SSU rRNA". It matches the Rfam family "Bacterial small subunit ribosomal RNA", at positions 100 to 777 of the family's 1533-position model. The record is from RNAcentral. Lineage: Bacteria; Pseudomonadati; Pseudomonadota; Alphaproteobacteria; Hyphomicrobiales; Alloboseaceae.